This is a small nucleolar RNA of Pungitius pungitius (ninespine stickleback), 81 nucleotides long. RefSeq annotates it as small nucleolar RNA SNORD72. The transcript has a single exon. The record is from RefSeq and is a predicted model, not a curated record. NCBI's taxonomy places the organism in Eukaryota, Metazoa, Chordata, Actinopteri, Perciformes, Gasterosteidae.
GUCUUGUCAGUGAUGUUUUCAAAAAACAAAUGUCUGAACAUAUGAUUUCCAGUGAAUUCAUCUUUGUUACUGAGACAAGAC